AUGCAGACUAUUAUGUGAGUUGUGGGUGAUGGUGCUCUUGGUAAAACAUGUCUCCUGAUAUCCUACACAACUAACAAAUUCCCAUCUGAGUAUGUACCAACUGUUUUUGACAACUAUGCAGCCACAGUUAUGAUUGCUGGAGAACCCUAUACUCUUGGACUUAUUGAUACCGCAGGGCAAGAGGAUUAUGACCAACUACGACUGCUGAAUUAUCCACAGACAGAUAUAUUUCUAAUGUGUUGUUCAGUGGUCUCCCCAUCCUCAUUUGAAAAUGUGAAAGAAAAGUGGGUGACUGAGAUAACUCACCACUGUCCAAAGACUCCUUUCUUGCUUGUUGGGACCCAAAUUGAUCUCAGAGAUGAUGAUUCUACUACUGAGAAACUUGCCAAGAACAUACAGAAGCCUAUCACUCCAGAGACUGUUGAAAAGCAGGCUCGUGACCUGAAGGCUGUCAAGUAUGUGGAGUGUUCUGAAGGCUGUUAGCUACAUGGAGUGUUCUGCCCUCACACAGAAGGCCUAAAGAAUGUGUUUGAUGAAGCAAUAUUGGCUUCCCUGGAGCCUCCAGAACCGAAGCAGAGCCGCAGGGGUAUGCUGCUGUGA
Molecule: RNA transcript, 600 nt
Organism: Nannospalax galili (Upper Galilee mountains blind mole rat)
Lineage: Eukaryota; Metazoa; Chordata; Mammalia; Rodentia; Spalacidae
Gene name: cell division control protein 42 homolog pseudogene
Exons: 1
Source: RefSeq, a predicted model, not a curated record